GAUGAACGCCGGCGGCGUGCCUAAUACAUGCAAGUCGAGCGAAUGGAUUAAGAGCUUGCUCUUAUGAAGUUAGCGGCGGACGGGUGAGUAACACGUGGGUAACCUGCCCAUAAGACUGGGAUAACUCCGGGAAACCGGGGCAAAUACCGGAUAACAUUUUGAACCGCAUGGUUCGAGAUUGAAAGUCGGCUUCGGCUGUUACUUAUGGAUGGACCCGCGUCGCAUUAGCUAGUUGGUGAGGCAACGGCUAACCAAGGCAACGAUGCGUAGCCGACCUGAGGGGGUGAUCGGCCACACUGGGACUGAGACACGGCCCAGACUCCUACGGGAGGCAGAAGUAGGGAAUCUUCCGCAAUGGACGAAAGUCUGACGGAGCAACGCCGCGUGAGUGAUGAAGGCUUUCGGGUCGUAAAACUCUGUUGUUAGGGAAGAACAAGUGCUAGUUGAAUAAGCUGGCACCUUGACGGUACCUAACCAGAAAGCCACGGCUAACUACGUGCCAGCCGCCGCAGUAA
RNAcentral lists this ribosomal RNA (515 nucleotides) under uncultured bacterium. RNAcentral's name for it is "partial 16S ribosomal RNA". It matches the Rfam family "Bacterial small subunit ribosomal RNA", at positions 28 to 523 of the family's 1533-position model. The record is from RNAcentral.